ACGGAGGCCACUGCUGUAUGACUUCCACCCAGGCCAGUUCUACUGCUACAUGGGACUAACAGUCCAGGCCUGCUGGGGCCUUCCUGAGACUUCUCUCUCUCCAUCAACCCAACUUAUAGAACAAUAGCAGAGUAUGUCUACUCAACCGACCAGAAAUAUGACCUUAGAAGAGGUUAUCGGCCUUAUGUCUGCAGCCCACCCACCUGCCUUGUCACUAAAUCUUGCUAUAACAGCCAGGAGAGGAGAUGAAAGGGGGUGGCGAUGUCUCUACUGCCCCCCAGAGGAUGGUUCACAGACUGGUAGGGGAAAACAACAUCUUCAAGGCAACUCUUCUUCAAACGCAUCUCUUGUGAUUAUGCACAAGCCAGUAUCAUGAUAUGCUAUGGAAAUUUGCUCAUACUGAGAAAAGUGCAUGUGUUAAUUUGGGUUUUAUAGGUAUUGAAUAUAGGUUUAUCAUUAGUGAUCUAAAAAGCUCUGAAUGGAAAAUAAUUUAACAAAGCUCCAUUUCAUAAAAAUAAAAGCAAUUAAUUUAGGGACUGUUCUGUUCCUAACAACAUUAUUACUACAGUAAUUACAGUGUUACUACACAUAUUGGAUUCAGUGCGAAUUUUAGAAUGCCUGAAAUGUGUUCCUCUAUUCAUUUUUGAUAACACCAGCAGUGCGCCAAACAUUUUGGCUGAUUUUGCAGUCUCCUCUCCUCUGGCAUAGAUCAACCUGUAAUGUCCUUCCUAGAUCUCAGUCAAGGGAAUCAUCACUCUGAACAUAAAAUAUCCUCAUACCCUUUGCCAUAAAUUGUGGUGUAGAAAGAGAAGUGGUGGUAGUGAAGGGAUGUAAUGCAGCUAGAUAGAGGAAAUAAAAUCACUGAA
This is a long non-coding RNA of Salvelinus fontinalis (brook trout), 866 nucleotides long. RefSeq lists it as uncharacterized. Lineage: Eukaryota; Metazoa; Chordata; Actinopteri; Salmoniformes; Salmonidae. The transcript has 3 exons. The record is from RefSeq and is a predicted model, not a curated record.